GACGAACGCUGGCGGCGUGCUUAACACAUGCAAGUCGAACGAGACGAUUUAGAAGCUUGCUUUUAUUGAGUCGAGUGGCAAACGGGUGAGUAACGCGUAGACAACCUGCCGCAAAGAUGGGGACAACAGUCCGAAAGGACUGCUAAUACCGAAUGUUGUAUCUCCUCCGCAUGGAAGAGAUAUUAAAGAUGGCCUCUACUUGUAAGCUAUCGCUUUGCGAUGGGUCUGCGUCUGAUUAGCUAGUUGGUGGGGCAAACGGCCUACCAAGGCGACGAUCAGUAGCCGGUCUGGAGAGGAUGAACGGCCACAUUGGAACUGAGACACGGUCCA
RNAcentral lists this ribosomal RNA (330 nucleotides) under uncultured bacterium. RNAcentral's name for it is "bacterial SSU rRNA". It matches the Rfam family "Bacterial small subunit ribosomal RNA", at positions 28 to 333 of the family's 1533-position model. The record is from RNAcentral.